This 385-nucleotide ribosomal RNA is filed under the name uncultured bacterium. RNAcentral describes it as "bacterial SSU rRNA". It matches the Rfam family "Bacterial small subunit ribosomal RNA", at positions 335 to 713 of the family's 1533-position model. The record is from RNAcentral.
ACUCCUACGGGAGGCAGCAGUGGGGAAUAUUGCACAAUGGGGAAACCCUGAUGCAGCCAUGCCGCGUGUGUGAAGAAGGCCUUCGGUUGUAAAGCACUUUCAGUAGGGAGGAAGGUAGUGUAGUUAACACCUGCACUAUUUGACGUUACCUACAGAAGAAGCACCGGCUAACUCCGUGCCAGCAGCCGCGGUAAUACGGAGGGGUGCGAGCGUUAAUCGGAAUUACUGGGCGUAAAGCGCAUGCAGGCGGCCUGUUAAGUCAGAUGUGAAAGCCCGGGGGCUUAACCUCGGAAUUGCAUUUGAAACUGGCAGGCUAGAGUCUUGUAGAGGGGGUAGAAUUUCAGGUGUAGCGGUGAAAUGCGUAGAGAUCUGAAGGAAUACCAGU